UCUGCUAUCGCUUUUAGAUGGACCCGCGGCGUAUUAACUAGUUGGUGGGGUAACGGCCUACCAAGGUGAUGAUACGUAGCCGAACUGAGAGGUUGAUCGGCCACAUUGGGACUGAGACACGGCCCAAACUCCUACGGGAGGCAGCAGUAGGGAAUCUUCCACAAUGGACGCAAGUCUGAUGGAGCAACGCCGCGUGAGUGAAGAAGGUCUUCGGAUCGUAAAACUCUGUUGUUAGAGAAGAACACGAGUGAGAGUAACUGUUCAUUCGAUGACGGUAUCUAACCAGCAGGUCACGGCUAACUACGUGCCAGCAGCCGCGGUAAUACGUAGGUGGCAAGCGUUGUCCGGAUUUAUUGGGCGUAAAGGGAACGCAGGCGGUCUUUUAAGUCUGAUGUGAAAGCCUUCGGCUUAACCGGAGUAGUGCAUUGGAAACUGGAAGACUUGAGUGCAGAAGAGGAGAGUGGAACUCCAUGUGUAGCGGUGAAAUGCGUAGAUAUAUGGAAGAACACCAGUGGCGAAAGCGGCUCUCUGGUCUGUAACUGACGCUGGGGUUCGAAAGCGUGGGUAGCAAACAGGAUUAGAUACCCUGGUAGUCCACGCCGUAAACGAUGAAUGCUAGGUGUUGGAGGGUUUCCGCCCUUCAGUGCCGCAGCUAACGCAAUAAGC
This 666-nucleotide ribosomal RNA is filed under the name uncultured bacterium. RNAcentral describes it as "bacterial SSU rRNA". It matches the Rfam family "Bacterial small subunit ribosomal RNA", at positions 208 to 865 of the family's 1533-position model. The record is from RNAcentral.